AGUGAACGCUGGCGGCAGGCCUAACACAUGCAAGUCGAACGACAGCACAGUAAGAUUUUGCCCCUGCGGGUGGCGACUGACGGACGGGUGAGGCGUAGAUCGGAUACUUCUAUUUCGUGGGGGACUACGUAGGGCCACUUACGCUAAUAGCGCAUAUGAUCUACGGGUUGAAUCAGUAGAUCUUCGCAGCUUUCGUGUCUCUAUUAGCUGGUGUCGGAUUAGCUAGUUGGCUGGGUAAAGGCCUACCAAGGCAACGAUGCGUAGCUGAUCUGAGAGGAUGAUCGGCCACACUGGAACUGAGACACGGUCCAGACUCCUACGGGAGGCAGCAGUAGGGAAUAUUGGGCAAUGGGCGCAAGCCUGAUCGAGCCAUGCCGCGUGAGUGAUGAAGGCCUUCGGAUCGUAAAGCCCUGUUGUUGGGGAAGAAAAACUGCAGAUGUAUACACGGCUGUUCUGACGGUACCCAAAGAGAAAGCACCGGCUAACUACGUG
Molecule: ribosomal RNA, 492 nt
Filed under: uncultured bacterium
Lineage: Bacteria
Description: partial 16S ribosomal RNA
Rfam family: Bacterial small subunit ribosomal RNA
Source: RNAcentral